AAGCUGCGGAGGGACGCAGGAAGGUAGUCCGGCACCGUAUUGGUUUGCGGUGUUAAGCCUGUAGGACGCAAUUCCAGGUAAAUCCGGUUUUGCAUGUGUCUGAGAGGUGAUGAGUGGUGCCACAUUUUGUGGUACGUAUCUGGGUGAUCCUAUGCUGCCUAGAAAAUCUUCGUGAGCGAGUUCUCGAGCUGCCCGUACCCCAAACCGACACUGGUGGACAGGUAGAGAAUACCAAGGCGAUCGAGAUAAUCAUGGUGAAGGAACUCGGCAAAAUCCUCCCGUAACUUCGGAAUAAGGGAGACUGGAGACGUGUAGAAAUUUUACUUUCGUAGCGUCGAGAGUCGCAGAGAAUUGGCCCAAGCGACUGCUUACUAAAAGCACAGGUCCGUGCUAAGUCGAAAGACGAUGUAUACGGACUGACUCCUGCCCGGUGCUGGAAGGUUAAGGGGACGUGUUAGCACUUGUGCGAAGCACUGAACUUAAGCCCCAGUAAACGGCGGUGGUAACUAUAACCAUCCUAAGGUAGCGAAAUUCCUUGUCGGGUAAGUUCCGACCUGCACGAAUGGAGUAACGACUUGGGCGCUGUCUCCACCAUGAACUCGGCGAAAUUGCAUUACGAGUAAAGAUGCUCGUUACGCGCAGCAGGACGGAAAGACCCCGGGACCUUUACUAUAGUUUGGUAUUGGUGUUCGGUACGACUUGUGUAGGAUAGGUGGGAGACUGUGAAGCGGUCACGCUAGUGAUUGUGGAGUCAUUGUUGAAAUACCACUCUGGUCGUCCUGGAUAUCUAACCUAGGUCCGUGAUCCGGAUCAGGGACAGUGCCUAAUGGGUAGUUUGACUGGGGCGGUCGCCUCCCAAAAGGUAACGGAGGCGCCCAAAGGUUCCCUCAGCCUGGUUGGUAAUCAGGUGUUGAGUGUAAGUGCACAAGGGAGCUUGACUGUGAGACAGACAUGUCGAGCAGGGACGAAAGUCGGGACUAGUGAUCUUCUGGUGGCUUGUGGAAGCGCCAGAACUCAACGGAUAAAAGGUACCCCGGGGAUAACAGGCUGAUCUUUCCCGAGCGCUCACAGCGACGGAAUGGUUUGGCACCUCGAUGUCGGCUCGUCGCAUCCUGGGGCUGGAGUCGGUCCCAAGGGUUGGGCUGUUCGCCCAUUAAAGCGGCACGCGAGCUGGGUUAAGAACGUCGUGAGACAGUUCGGUCCCUAUCCGCUGCGCGCGUAGGAAUCUUGAGAAGGGCUGUCCUUAGUACGCAAGGACCGGGACGGACCAACCUCUGGUGUGCCAGUUGUUCCACCAGGAGCAUGGCUGGUUGGCUACGUUGGGAAGUGAUAACCGCUGAAAGCAUCUAAGUGGGAAGCACGCUUCAAGAUGAGGGUUCCCGCACAGUUAAUGUGGUAAGGCCCCCGGUAGACCACCGGGUGAUAGGUCGGAUGUGGAAGCAUGGUGACAUGUGGAGCUGACCGGUACUAAGAGGCCGAGGGCUUGCCAA
This 1490-nucleotide ribosomal RNA is filed under the name metagenome. Its description in RNAcentral is "bacterial LSU rRNA". It matches the Rfam family "Bacterial large subunit ribosomal RNA", at positions 1459 to 2925 of the family's 2925-position model. The record is from RNAcentral.